Molecule: ribosomal RNA, 441 nt
Filed under: uncultured bacterium
Lineage: Bacteria
Description: partial 16S ribosomal RNA
Rfam family: Bacterial small subunit ribosomal RNA
Source: RNAcentral
CUACGGGGGGCACCAGUGGGGAAUAUUGGGCAAUGGGCGCAAGCCUGACCCAGCAACGCCGCGUGAGGGAAGAAGGUUUUCGGAUUGUAAACCUCUGUCCUUGGGGACGAAGAAGUGACGGUACCCAAGGAGGAAGCUCCGGCUAACUACGUGCCAGCAGCCGCGGCAAUACGUAGGGAGUAAGCGUUGUCCGGAAUUACUGGGCGUAAAGGGUGCGUAGGCGGCAUAUUAAGUCAGGUGUGAAAUACUCGGGCUCAACCCGGGGGCUGCAUUUGAAACUGAUAUGCUUGAGUGUGAGAGAGGAAAGUGGAAUUCCUAGUGUAGCGGUGGAAUGCGUAGAUAUUAGGAGGAACACCAGUGGCGAAGGCGACUUUCUGGCUCAUAACUGACGCUGAGGCACGAAAGCGUGGGGAGCAAACAGGAUUAGAUACCCUCGUAGUC